CGAGCGGCGGACGGGUGAGUAAUGCUUGGGAACAUGCCUUGAGGUGGGGGACAACAGUUGGAAACGACUGCUAAUACCGCAUAAUGUCUACGGACCAAAGGGGGCUUCGGCUCUCGCCUUUAGAUUGGCCCAAGUGGGAUUAGCUAGUUGGUGAGGUAAUGGCUCACCAAGGCAACGAUCCCUAGCUGGUUUGAGAGGAUGAUCAGCCACACUGGAACUGAGACACGGUMMAGACUCCUACGGGAGGCAGCAGUGGGGAAUAUUGCACAAUGGGCGCAAGCCUGAUGCAGCCAUGCCGCGUGUGUGAAGAAGGCCUUCGGGUUGUAAAGCACUUUCAGUCAGGAGGAAAGGUUAGUCGUUAAUACCGGCUAGCUGUGACGUUACUGACAGAARAAGCACCGGCUAACUCCGUGCCAGCAGCCGCGGUAAUACGGAGGGUGCGAGCGUUAAUCGGAAUUACUGGGGCGUAAAGCGUACGCRGGCGGUUUGUUAARCGAGAUGUGAAAGCCCCGGGGCUCAACCUGGGAMCUGCAUUUCGAACUGSCAAACUAGAGUGUGAUAGAGGGKGGUARAAUUUCAGGGUGUAGCGGUGAAAUGCGUAGAGAUCUGAAGGAAUACCGAUGGCGAAGGCVGCCMCCUGG
Molecule: ribosomal RNA, 641 nt
Filed under: bacterium RB86LO
Lineage: Bacteria
Description: bacterial SSU rRNA
Rfam family: Bacterial small subunit ribosomal RNA
Source: RNAcentral